CGCGUGAUGAUGAGGCUUUCGGGUCGUAACUCGUGGUAAGAGACCAGUGCUAGUGAUAGCUGCACUUGACGUACCUAACAGAAGCACGCUACUACGUGCAGCAGCGCGUAUACGUAGUGCAGCGUAUCCGAUAUGGCGUAAAGCGCGCGCAGUGUUUCUAGUCUGAUGUGAAAGCCCACGGCUCACCGUGGAAGGUCAUUGGAAACUGGGAGACUUGAGUGCAGAAGAGAAAGUUGAAUUCCAUGUGUAGCGUGAAAUGCGUAGAGAUAUUGAAGAACCACCAGUGGCGGAGGCGCUUUCUGUCUUUAAUGACAUGAGGCGCGAAGCGUGGGGAGCAAACAGGAUUAGAUACCUGGUAGUUCACGCCGUAAACGAUGAGUGUAAGGGUAGAGGGUUUUCGCCCUUUAGUGCUGAAGUUAACGCCAUUAGCACUCCCCCUGGGGAGUACGGCCGCCAGGCUGAAACUCAAAGGAAAUGACGGGGGCCCGCACAAACGGUUGAACAUGUGGGUUAAUUUGAAGCAACGCGAAGAACCUUUCCAGGUUCUGACCUCCUUUGACCACCCUUGAGAUUGGGGUUUUCCUUUGGGAACCGAAUGACCGGUGGUGCCUGGUUGUUGUCAAGUUCUGUUGUGAGAAGUUGGGUUAAAUUCCGCAACGAGCGCCACCCUUGAUUUUAGUUGCCCUCCUUUAAUUGGGCCCUUUAAGGGGGCUUCCGGGGGCCAACCGGAGGGAGGGGGGGAAGGCGUCAAAUCCUCCUGCCCCUUAUGGCCUGGGGUUCCCCCGUGGUUCCAAGGGCGGUUCCAAGAAGUGCAAGGCCGGGAGGGGGAAGUUAUUUCAUUAAACCGUUUUCAGUUUGGAUUGUAGGGUGCAAAUUGCCUUCCAGAAAGUGGAAUUGGUUGUAAUUGGGGAUCAGCCAGCCGCGGGGGAUUCGUUUCCGGGCCUUGUUCCCAACCCCCCUCCCACCCCGGGAAUUUGGAACCCCCGAAGUCGGUGGGGUAACCUUUUUGGAGCCAGCCGCCUAAGGUGGGACAGAUGAUUGGGGGAAGUCGUAACAAGAGCCUAGGG
RNAcentral lists this ribosomal RNA (1067 nucleotides) under Bacillus cereus. RNAcentral's name for it is "bacterial SSU rRNA". It matches the Rfam family "Bacterial small subunit ribosomal RNA", at positions 398 to 1505 of the family's 1533-position model. Lineage: Bacteria; Bacillati; Bacillota; Bacilli; Caryophanales; Bacillaceae. The record is from RNAcentral.